GAUGUUGGUGACAGUUGGUCCACUGUAGGAGUGCGAUGCAUAUCAAGAUAGGAUCUAUCGAUCUUGAUAGAGAGUAGUCCUAUGAAAUUUGAAAGGCUAAGUCCAAGAAUCUGUGGCCACAGCAGUGUGAUUGAUGGAAAAGAGUUUUCAUAAAAGUCACAACUGGACUUGAGCUAAUCAAAUCUAUCAUAUGACUGAUGAUG
Molecule: long non-coding RNA, 203 nt
Filed under: Elaeis guineensis (African oil palm)
Lineage: Eukaryota; Viridiplantae; Streptophyta; Magnoliopsida; Arecales; Arecaceae
Description: long non-coding RNA (EGUI_LNC032288)
Source: RNAcentral